This 784-nucleotide ribosomal RNA is filed under the name Kocuria palustris. RNAcentral's name for it is "bacterial SSU rRNA". It matches the Rfam family "Bacterial small subunit ribosomal RNA", at positions 29 to 822 of the family's 1533-position model. The record is from RNAcentral. Lineage: Bacteria; Bacillati; Actinomycetota; Actinomycetes; Micrococcales; Micrococcaceae.
ACGAACGCUGGCGGCGUGCUUAACACAUGCAAGUCGAACGCUGAAGCACCAUCUUGCUGGUGUGGAUGAGUGGCGAACGGGUGAGUAAUACGUGAGUAACCUGCCCUUGACUCUGGGAUAAGCCCGGGAAACUGGGUCUAAUACUGGAUGCUACAUGUCACCGCAUGGUGGUGUGUGGAAAGGGUUUACUGGUCUUGGAUGGGCUCACGGCCUAUCAGCUUGUUGGUGAGGUAAUGGCUCACCAAGGCGACGACGGGUAGCCGGCCUGAGAGGGUGACCGGCCACACUGGGACUGAGACACGGCCCAGACUCCUACGGGAGGCAGCAGUGGGGAAUAUUGCACAAUGGGCGAAAGCCUGAUGCAGCGACGCCGCGUGAGGGAUGACGGCCUUCGGGUUGUAAACCUCUUUCAGCAGGGAAGAAGCCACAAGUGACGGUACCUGCAGAAGAAGCGCCGGCUAACUACGUGCCAGCAGCCGCGGUAAUACGUAGGGCGCAAGCGUUGUCCGGAAUUAUUGGGCGUAAAGAGCUCGUAGGCGGUUUGUCGCGUCUGCUGUGAAAGCCCGGGGCUUAACCCCGGGUGUGCAGUGGGUACGGGCAGACUAGAGUGCAGUAGGGGAGACUGGAAUUCCUGGUGUAGCGGUGGAAUGCGCAGAUAUCAGGAGGAACACCGAUGGCGAAGGCAGGUCUCUGGGCUGUUACUGACGCUGAGGAGCGAAAGCAUGGGGAGCGAACAGGAUUAGAUACCCUGGUAGUCCAUGCCGUAAACGUUGGGCACUAGGUG